RNAcentral lists this long non-coding RNA (430 nucleotides) under Musa acuminata (dwarf banana). Its description in RNAcentral is "long non-coding RNA (MACU_LNC000347)". The record is from RNAcentral. Lineage: Eukaryota; Viridiplantae; Streptophyta; Magnoliopsida; Zingiberales; Musaceae.
CCCUUACAUUUCUUCUCUUGUCUUUCUCUCUUGAUUUAUUUAUUUAUUUUUAAUCUCUGUAUCUUGUUCUUCUUCCUUCCUCACUUUUCAUCUUUUGCUUUGACUUCCUUUCUCCUUCCCUUCGUCGCCCACAAUCUGUGGUUGAGUGACAGCAACCAAAAUUUCUUCUGUUCUUUCCCAAUCUGCUGAUCCCAUCUUCCUCAUAACAUGGUUGGCGACAUCAUAAUCUCCUCUCCUCUUGCUUGGUAUUGCCAGCUUGGCUUGCCAAGGUGAUCAAUCUUUUUAUGUAUAACUAUGUUCUUUCUCUUCUCUUUCUCCUUACUGUUCGCCUGUGUUCUUCUUCCUCUUCUUCUUCUUCUUCUUCUUCUUCUUCUUCUUCUUCUUCUUCUUCUUCUUCUUCCCGUCGUCCUUCUCUCUUCCUCUUUCUCUA